Molecule: ribosomal RNA, 613 nt
Filed under: uncultured bacterium
Lineage: Bacteria
Description: bacterial SSU rRNA
Rfam family: Bacterial small subunit ribosomal RNA
Source: RNAcentral
CCUACGGGAGGCAGCAGUAAGGAAUAUUGGUCAAUGGAGGCAACUCUGAACCAGCCAUGCCGCGUGCAGGAAGAAGGCCCUAUGGGUCGUAAACUGCUUUUGUACCAGAGAAAACCCGAGUACGUGUACUCGGUUGAUAGUAUGGUAAGAAUAAGCAUCGGCUAACUUCGUGCCAGCAGCCGCGGUAAGACGAAGGAUGCAAGCGUUAUCCGGAUUCAUUGGGUUUAAAGGGUGCGUAGGCGGACUGAUAAGUCAGUGGUGAAAUCUCUCGGCUUAACCGAGAAACUGCCAUUGAUACUGUUAGUCUAGAGUAUAGAUGACGUCGGCGGAAUAUGACAUGUAGCGGUGAAAUACUUAGAUAUGUCAUAGAACACCGAUUGCGAAGGCAGCUAACGAAACUAUAACUGACGCUGAGGCACGAAAGUGCGGGGAUCAAACAGGAUUAGAUACCCUGGUAGUCCGCACCGUAAACGAUGAUUACUCGUUGUUGGCAAUAUGACCGUCAGCGACCAAGCGAAAGCGAUAAGUAAUCCACCUGGGGAGUACGCCGGCAACGGUGAAACUCGAAAUGAAUUGACGGCGNGAGAGNGCGAGGACGACGACGAGGGAGAGG